This is a long non-coding RNA of Populus trichocarpa (black cottonwood), 1724 nucleotides long. RefSeq lists it as uncharacterized. The transcript is spliced from 2 exons. The record is from RefSeq and is a predicted model, not a curated record. NCBI's taxonomy places the organism in Eukaryota, Viridiplantae, Streptophyta, Magnoliopsida, Malpighiales, Salicaceae.
GAUAAUUCACCAAAAUAUUAUAUUGCACUUGUAGCCUGUGAUAAUUAAUGAUGUGUGUUUCGAUAGGCCAAGGAAUAGAAUAUGCUACUGUGUAAGAAAAGAAACAAAAGCAGAUGGUGACCAUCAAACUAGAUAGUAAUACUACAAGAAGGCAGUGUGGCUAGACUACCUUUCCUUUUCGGUUCACUGUCUUUAGAUUUGAUAGGAUUACAGAAUCAUGAGCAUAUGAGAUAUGUGUUUAUAAAGCUUAAACAGAUGGAUUCUUUAACUACAGCCUCUAGUAAGCUUCAAGCACACUGAUUGAAUAGCCAUACCAGACGAUGGUGACGGAGUUUGUGAUGUGGGUUUUUUCUUGUAGCUUGAGUAGCGUUGCCAUUAUUUGAAAAGAAUCGUUCAUAAUUAGCAAGAAGAUCUUCCAGUCUUGUUGAAAAAGCAGUCAAGAUCAACAUCAUUGUCUAUGGAAAGUAAUCUACCUAACCUAUAUGAUUGGUUUAGGAAGAACAGAAUCUCCAGGGCAGGGCACCUUAUCAUCGCUUUAAAGCAACUAUGCAUCCCUUUCUUACAGAAUAAUCAUGUUUAGCUUUAAGAACCAUUAUAAAUUCCUGCAAUCAAUCAUUCAAAUGAGCAUCAGCCAGCAACUAACCUUCAACUUAUCACUUUCUUUCCGUCUCUUUUCUUUUCCUCUUGAAAUUAAUUACUUCAUCCUUGAUAUUGGGUCAGGAUUGGGUAAUCUGCAUCCUGAGGUUUGGAUCACCACAUGUUUUGAUCUAGUCCUUGGGUUGCAGAUUACCUCUUCCUCACUGACAAUGUAGAGCUUUCCGUUCGCACCUGGCUACUGGCUACACUUAAACCUUGCUCUUGCUCUUCAGGUCUUUGAUCCUGCUGGCAAAUUACACAUUUUACUUAUGGUUCCACUCUCUUAAGAUAGUUCAGGUAUGGCCAUACUGGAAAAUAAUGAUUUCACAGCCACCCCUGAAACUGAGGUCUGUUUUCUAAUGCCCUGGCAAAGAAGCAUAAGAGAAAAAGGAGCGAGUUCUCUAUAAUUUAGAUUUCUGGUUCUUGCAAAAUUGAACAUUCCUGUCAUAUUCCAAGUUCCUAUCUAGAAGUUUUCAACCUCUUGAAGCAGAUGGAGGUUUUCUGUAAGACAUGGCAAGAAACUAUAUGAAUCUAGGUGUCACUUUUCUGGAAUUGCUGCAGCACUCCAAUAGCUUCCUCCUUGCUUUCACUGAAGUCCCCGCCAUCUUUGAAGAUUAAAAACUCCAUCAUCUCCACCCGGAAGAAAAUGAAACUUCCACUCAAGUGUGUAAUGCAACAGCCGAAGUCCUUUCCAACCACACAGUGCCAUGCUGGUCCAUAAACAUCAUCAAAUUUCUGUUUAGCAGUUACAAACGUUGUUAGCUUGAACAUUACAACAAUAGCUUCAUUAAGAAAAAUCUUCAACACCAUCAUUCUUUGAUGUCCACCAACAUCGAUGCUGGUUGAUCAUGUUAAUAGAUAGUGGGAUAAAUAACACUUCCAAUGUGAACUAGUGGCGUUCGGAGAGGUAAUUCAGACGUGAGAAACAUUAAUCCGUGGUGUUGCACCAUGAUUGUUGUCUGUGAUUUUUUGAGAAAGAAAAAACGUGUGUGUGAGAGAGAGAGAGCGUGAAAACCUCUUUGUUUCAUGCCCCACUUGGUAGUUGGCAUAUCCAAAUUCAAUACAUCAAAUUGAGCAUUAUUCGCCUA